This is a non-coding RNA of Manis javanica (Malayan pangolin), 3360 nucleotides long. NCBI's taxonomy places the organism in Eukaryota, Metazoa, Chordata, Mammalia, Pholidota, Manidae. The record is from RefSeq and is a predicted model, not a curated record.
CCACAAAUGAGUGGGUGAUGCGUGACUGUGAACCCUCAACUCUAAGUCCUAGUCUUAGCUGAAGUUUGUGAUUUUCUCCUAUGAAGCUUUCCAAAUGCCACAGUGUCUGCUGACUUAACUGGCCCCUGUGUCAUGGAGGCUGCCUAAUUAUUCAUUAGAGUCUGUGCUGCUCUGAUGGCUCAAUGACUGGCAUUAACUGAAAUCAUCAUGACCUGAAAAGCUAUUCAGAUUUGAGAGGUCCCCUUGAAAUUUUGGUUCACCUGCAAACCUGAACAGACACUGGGAGGAAACCAGAAACCCCACCAAUGCCUGUUUAUUAACAGGAAUGGUAGCGAAAAGGAGCGGCUAAUGACACAUGGAGAUCAGCCCUGCAGAAGUCAAAGAACCACCGCCAUGAGCUGCAUUGUAAAAGCCACUCAAGUUUUUUAUUUAACUAUCAGUCCUAGUCUAACUCAUUUCAAGCUCUAUGCCUACAGGCUUUUGGUAGUUUAUAUAACCAGUUAUCUCAUUUUUAAUGUUAUAUCUAUAAAAAGAUCUUAUUUUAUUUUAUUUUGAACCCCUUACUUGAUAAUGAAAAACAUGUUAAUAAGGCACCUCAUCAAUAGCAGUCAAGGCCAGAUGACAGGUCUUAAUGACAAACUAAUUACAAGAACCCUGUGCAUUGUGCCAAAGGCUUUCAGUUUUCCAGCCACCAUCUGAAAAUAGGUGCUUCAGAAUGAUCUCAUCAUGAAUACAUUAAUUUCAUUCAUUCAUUCCUCUUAUUUGUUCACUCAUUCAUUCAUCCUGUAAACACAAACACAAGCCCAUGGUGGGCCAAACACAAUGUUAGACAGAGGGAAUAUAAAAGAAAGCCAGACGCCUGCCUCAUGUUGCUGAAGUCCAAGGGGAAGACAGAUGAGUAAUCCUGCAAGAACCAAUAACCGUCUUUAGUCAGGGCUCUCCAAAGAGAGAUGCACACUCUGGCUAUGAGGGCACAGAGUGCAGUGCUGAACCUGGAGAACAUGAGUGAGACAAACCUGAGCAGACACUGGGAGGAGACCAGAGACCCCACCAAUGCUUGUUUAUUGGAAAAGAAAAGGAGUGGCUAACAAUGCAAAUGUCAAGUGAGCAGGGAAUCUGAGUAAGACCACUAAGAAAGAAUAUGCCAUGCCUGUUUUCUUACUGAACUUCCAGGGUAAAAGGAGACAGAAAAUGUUGUCCACUGCUCCUGGAGAUGCCCUUACUGCAGAGAACAUUCAUCCAUGCCACAAAUAUUUUCACACCUGCCACUUCCCUGAGACUUUGUUACGUACUAGCAUGGACACACUAGUUAUGGUCCUGCAAUCACACAAGUCAGAUGAGGAGACAGAGACACUAUGGUGCUCUAAGGAUUAUAUCAAAUGCUGAUCUUUAUCUCAAAAAAAAAAGCCUAUUUUCCUAGGAUCACCUGACCUCUUUCAGUGUUACUGUUAUUACAACAAUGGGGUUAUCUUGGCUAGAAUGUAUAAGCACAGCUUUAUGUCAGCAUAUCCAUCAGUCACUCUCGGGAGCUAUGCAGUUGUCCAUAUUCUUGGCCCUGUGAUUCAUGUAGAUAUCUUCCUGUUGGUGGCUGUAAUCCACAGAGGCCUCAAUCCAGACUGUUUUUUUCCACUCCCUCAUAAAGCCUGCCUACUACAGCAGAAGCCAGAAGAGAAGUGUUCUGAUGAAUAUUUCCUAAGCUAGUAGGAUUCACAGUGGGGUCACUGAUUUAUCCACACAUUAGUCACCGUGGACAUAUACUCAGUGAAACAGGAUACAAUGUUAAUUGUGGUCUGUCAGCUCCAAGAUUCAAUUAAGGGAGCAGGGCUGACGGAAUGUAUAUGUUUACAAGGGCCACUUGCAUAGGACAGACCCACUGAAAGAGCAGAUGCUUACUAGCAAUAUGUUACAAUAAAUAACUAAAUCCUCCUUGGAGUGACUAUAUAACAGUCAGCCACCCCACAGAGGUCUUGAGAUCAAAUGAGCUACAACGCCCUAGAUUCUACCUGGAGACACUUAGGCUAGAAUCUCUUAAUAGAGAAAGGUCCAUAGUGGAAGGUCCAGCAGGCUUUCUUUGAUUCAUGACAUCCUGAUUUCAUAAAAGUAAACAUGAACAUCUACCUCCUCCACUACACUGCACUGGCAGCUCCCAGAGUUGUCCUAACAGGCAGGGAUUUUAUAAUAGGGUUGGCACAGCUUUCCUCUUGCCUGGCUGCCUGACUCAAUAGCAAAGCACAGUUCAGGGCCCCACAGUAUCAAUCCCAGUCUCGCUGGGCUGCACUCAAAUCCAAAUGGUUGAACUUUUAACUGCAUUUGGGGGUAGGGCAGUUGGGAAGGCAUGGUAGGACAUUAACUAAAACCUUGGCUUAGGAAUUGAUAAGCAUGCAUUUAUUUCAUCUUGCAAACCCAACCAUGUCCCAGGUCCACACUCAGCAGGCAAACGUGAGAGCAAAUUUCUUGGAAGUUUAUCUACAAAGCGCAUGCAUUACAGAACUUAGGGAAAAGGUAUGGUUUCCCACACCAAAUGUUCAUCCAAAUGUCAAGCACAGAAAGUUCUUUUUAACUUCAGUAGGAGCUCUGAUUAUGUAAAGAGCAUAAAAGUGCUGUGAACAAUUGGACUGUCACCCCAAAAUUAUGUUAAAUAUGUUCAUACAGUGUUUUCAAAACCUCAGUUACUUGUUUUCCUAUAAUUUGACAGCACAUAAUUUAUUCUUUAGAAAAAUAUUCAUUAAAUUAGGUGUAUCCAGGUAGAUAACAGAUAUUACAAUUUUACCACUGGUUCAAAGAUUCAGAUAGAGUGUUUCUAAAUAUCCCAAGACCUUUCCAUAAAUAGAGGCAGUCUCAUGACAACUGACAUUUUAAAAACAAAAUCUCUUUUUACAUAUUAAUUAUGAUUCCCAUCCCCACUUUGUAGUUCCUACACAGACAAGUGACUGCACCCAGCUUAGCAUGUCUGUCAGUUUACACUAUGUGUGUAGAAAGAUUUAUUAAAAUAAAUACAGAUCAAUGGGCUUUAGAGUUACUAUAUUAGAUUAACUACCAAGAUUUUUCUGAGAGCAUGCUAUUAAAAUAAAUGGGCUUCUCCUUGAUUUGCAAAGCAAUGUGGGAUUUUAAAAACCAGAAUGUCCCUGAUUUGAUGGAAAGAAUUUAUUUUCCUUUUUAAACAACUUUAUCUUGCAUUUUUAAGAAGAUACUUCUGAUUAAAGAGAACUAAUUUCCUUAUGUUGAAAUUCUAAAGAGCUCUUUUCCAAGAAACUGCACAUGCCUCACCCCCCACCCCCCCGCAAUACAGGGACAUGGCACACAUCAAGAAAUCAGCAUUUUCACUCAAAAACACGAACAAUACAUAAAUGCUUAAGUGUU